Molecule: ribosomal RNA, 1342 nt
Filed under: uncultured bacterium
Lineage: Bacteria
Description: 16S ribosomal RNA
Rfam family: Bacterial small subunit ribosomal RNA
Source: RNAcentral
GACGAACGUUGGCGGCGUGCUUAACACAUGCAAGUCGAACGGAAAGGCCCUGCUUUUGUGGGGUGCUCGAGUGGCGAACGGGUGAGUAACACGUGAGUAACCUGCCCUUGACUUUGGGAUAACUUCAGGAAACUGGGGCUAAUACCGGAUAGGAGCUCCUGCUGCAUGGUGGGGGUUGGAAAGUUUCGGCGGUUGGGGAUGGACUCGCGGCUUAUCAGCUUGUUGGUGGGGUAGUGGCUUACCAAGGCUUUGACGGGUAGCCGGCCUGAGAGGGUGACCGGCCACAUUGGGACUGAGAUACGGCCCAGACUCCUACGGGAGGCAGCAGUGGGGAAUAUUGCACAAUGGGCGGAAGCCUGAUGCAGCAACGCCGCGUGCGGGAUGACGGCCUUCGGGUUGUAAACCGCUUUCGCCUGUGACGAAGCGUGAGUGACGGUAAUGGGUAAAGAAGCACCGGCUAACUACGUGCCAGCAGCCGCGGUGAUACGUAGGGUGCGAGCGUUGUCCGGAUUUAUUGGGCGUAAGGGCUCGUAGGUGGUUGAUCGCGUCGGAAGUGUAAUCUUGNGGCUUAACCCUGAGCGUGCUUUCGAUACGGGUUGACUUGAGGAAGGUAGGGGAGAAUGGAAUUCCUGGUGGAGCGGUGGAAUGCGCAGAUAUCAGGAGGAACACCAGUGGCGAAGGCGGUUCUCUGGGCCUUUCCUGACGCUGAGGAGCGAAAGCGUGGGGAGCGAACAGGCUUAGAUACCCUGGUAGUCCACGCUGUAAACGGUGGGUACUAGGUGUGGGGUCCAUUCCACGGGUUCCGUGCCGUAGCUAACGCUUUAAGUACCCCGCCUGGGGAGUACGGCCGCAAGGCUAAAACUCAAAGGAAUUGACGGGGCCCCGCACAAGCGGCGGAGCAUGCGGAUUAAUUCGAUGCAACGCGUAGAACCUUACCUGGGUUUGACAUGGAUCGGGAGCGCUCAGAGAUGGGUGUGCCUCUUUUGGGGUCGGUUCACAGGUGGUGCAUGGCUGUCGUCAGCUCGUGUCGUGAGAUGUUGGGUUAAGUCCCGCAACGAGCGCAACCCUUGUUCACUGUUGCCAGCACGUUAUGGUGGGGACUCAGUGGAGACCGCCGGGGUCAACUCGGAGGAAGGUGGGGAUGACGUCAAGUCAUCAUGCCCCUUAUGUCCAGGGCUUCACGCAUGCUACAAUGGCUGGUACAGAGAGUGGCGAGCCUGUGAGGGUGAGCGAAUCUCGGAAAGCCGGUCUCAGUUCGGAUUGGGGUCUGCAACUCGACCUCAUGAAGUCGGAGUCGCUAGUAAUCGCAGAUCAGCAACGCUGCGGUGAAUACGUUCCCGGG